GCCUGUUCGANCGUCAUUAUCACCCCUCAAGCCCGGCUUGUUGUUGGACGUCGGCGGCGGCCUUUAGUGGCGUACCGCCCGUCUCAAAGAUAAUGACGGCGUCUGUGAGGACACCUGUACACUGAGCCUUCGGGCACGUACUAGGCUGAUACUUGCAGACCCGGUCUUCGGGUUCGCUUCGGCGUCCCCAACUUUUUUACCAAGGUUGACCUCGGAUCAGGUAGGAAUACCCGCUGAACUUAAGCAUAUCAAUAAGCGGAGGAAAAGAAACCAACAGGGAUUGCCUUAGUAACGGCGAGUGAGGCGGCAACAGCUCAAAUUUGAAAUCUGGCCUCUUUGGGGUCCGAGUUGUAAUUUGGAGAGGAUGUUUCGGGUACGGUCCGGGCUUAUAUUUCUUGGAACGGAAUGUCAUAGAGGGUGAGAAUCCCGUCUGGAGUCCGGACACGGCCUAUGUGAAACUCCUUCGACGAGUCGAGUUGUUUGGGAAUGCAGCUCUAAAUGGGUGGUAAAUUUCAUCUAAAGCUAAAUAUUGGCCAGAGACCGAUAGCGCACAAGUAGAGUGAUCGAAAGAUGAAAAGCACUUUGAAAAGAGAGUUAAAAAGUACGUGAAAUUGUUGAAAGGGAAGCGCUGGCAACCAGACUUGCACGUCGGGGUUCCCCCUUGCUUUUGCCUGGGUUACUCCCCGGCGUUCAGGCCAACAUCGGUUUCGGGGGUUGGUUAAAGGCCUUAGGAAUGUACUUACCCUCCGGGGUAAACUUAUAGCCCAGGGUGUCAUGCGACCUC
RNAcentral lists this ribosomal RNA (784 nucleotides) under uncultured Cyphellophora. RNAcentral's name for it is "eukaryotic LSU rRNA". The stretch from base 207 to 784 matches the Rfam family "Eukaryotic large subunit ribosomal RNA", at positions 1 to 584 of the family's 3401-position model. The record is from RNAcentral. Lineage: Eukaryota; Fungi; Ascomycota; Eurotiomycetes; Chaetothyriales; Herpotrichiellaceae.